Molecule: long non-coding RNA, 1384 nt
Filed under: Sus scrofa (pig)
Lineage: Eukaryota; Metazoa; Chordata; Mammalia; Artiodactyla; Suidae
Description: lncRNA (ENSSSCG00065043164.1)
Source: RNAcentral
AUUUUAGGGCCGCACCCAUGGCACAUGGAGGUUCCCAGGCUAAGGGUCGAAUCAGAGGUGUAGCCACAGGCCUGUGCCACUGCUACAGCAAGGCCAUAUCUGAGCCAUGUCUGCCACCUACACCACAGCUCAUGGCAAUACCAGCCCCUUAACCCACUGAGCGAGGCCAGGGAUCAAACCCACAUCCUUGUGGAUCCUAGCUGGGUUUCUUAACCACUGAGCCAUGAAGGGAACUCCCUCAUUUCACCCAUUUCUUUCUUUCUUUCUUUUUGUGGGGGGGGGGGGCACCAGCGGCAUAUGGAGUUUCCCAGGCUAGGGGUUGAAUUGGAGCUACAGCUGCCAGCCACAGCCACAGCCACAGCAACGCAGGAUCCAAGCCGCAUCUGCAACCUACACCGCAACUCACUGCAAUGCCAGAUCCUUAACCCACUGAGUAAGGCCCAGGAUCAAACCUGCAUCCUCAUGGAUCCUAGUGGAGUUCGUUAACCUCUGAGCUAUGAAGGGAACUCCUUUUAACCUGUUUCUUUUUACUUCAUUUAAUACUUGAAAAGCAACUGAAAAAAGAGACUCUCCUUUCGCUGAAUCCACAUCCAUUAAAAGUUGAAUCCUCUAGGAGCACCAGGAGAUAGGUAAUUUCCUCUUUCAGAGCCACUUGAAACAGUCACCUUCAAGGGCUACUGUGUGGCUUCUGCAAUGACAACUGAUUCUUGAGGAUCCUUUUAAUGUCAUGUCACAGCCAAAAUGUCAUUCUCAUUUAAAAACAAAACAAAACAAAACUUCUGGGUAGGGAAGAGGAAUACCUCCACCGGCUGACAGCUAGAUGACAGAUGCCCCCCUUUGGGCCUCAGCCACCUUCUCUGGGCUCAGCAUCCUCCCCAACCCCCAUCUACCCGCUGCCUGUCCUAUCCCAAUACUUCACAUCCACAGACCUCGUCUCUGCACUGUUUCUCAAAUUCCUUGCAGCCUUUCCCCACGUCAUGCCUCUUCAUGUGCUAUCCUGCUUCCCGGAAUGCUCUGAUUCUCUUUCUCUACCUGUAAAACUCCUACCCAUACUUUAAAACCCAACCCAGAUGGCUCUUCCUCUGCAAAACCUUCCCGCUCUGCCCCCACAGUGCUCCAACACGCUUAGCAUUUAAUUACUAGCACACAACUGGGUUUCACUGUAAUUAUUUGAUUACUUCUGUCUGCUCUCCUUCCAUCUGUGCCCUUCCAUGUACCUACAACACUGUCAGUCCAAUGCAACAAAUGGUGUGUGUGUGUAUAUGCACACAUUUGUAAACACACCUGCAUGAGAAAGAAAAGUCUAUAAACCUAACAUGGUUAUGCACCAAAAUGUUAAGAGUAGUCAAUUCUGGUGGUAGGAUUACAGGUGAUUUUGUAAAUU